AUGGCCGCCGCCGCCGUCGCCGCUGACUCCAAGAUCGACAACCUCCGCGACACCGUCGCCAAGCUCGGCGAGAUCAGCGAGAACGAGAAGGCCGGGUUCAUCAGCCUCGUCUCGCGCUACCUCAGCGGUGAGGCGGAGCAGAUCGAGUGGAGCAAGAUCCAGACCCCCACCGAUGAGGUGGUGGUGCCCUACCUGUGGCUCCAGUACUUAUAUGUGAACUCGGCUGCUACCAAGCAUAUCAGUGAAAUUAGUGAUAAAAUUGCUAUUGACUAUCUCGACGCCAUGAAGGCCCUGCUUGACAAGCUCGUGGUGCUCAAGCUCAACGGAGGCCUCGACACCACCAUGGGCUGCACCGGCCCCAAACAUUUCAUGCAUGUUUAUGAGGCCUUGGACAAGAUCAGUACGGUGCCGAUGGAGGCCCUCGCCGCCGGCGCCGAUGUGUCCAUGAUUGGGCAGUUUGGUGUUGGCUUCUACUCCGCCUACCUUGUUGCCGAGAGGGUCGUUGUCACCACGAAGCACAACGACGAAGGGCGGUACGUGUGGGAGUCCCAGGCCGGUGGCUCCUUCACCGUCACUCGUGAUACGUUUGGGGAGCAGCUCGACAGGGGUACCAAGAUGGUCCUCUACCUCAAGGACGACUAG
Molecule: ribosomal RNA, 642 nt
Filed under: Triticum aestivum (bread wheat)
Lineage: Eukaryota; Viridiplantae; Streptophyta; Magnoliopsida; Poales; Poaceae
Description: partial small subunit ribosomal RNA
Source: RNAcentral